Ictidomys tridecemlineatus (thirteen-lined ground squirrel) is the source of this 443-nucleotide long non-coding RNA. RefSeq lists it as uncharacterized. NCBI's taxonomy places the organism in Eukaryota, Metazoa, Chordata, Mammalia, Rodentia, Sciuridae. The record is from RefSeq and is a predicted model, not a curated record.
CUCCGACCCCACAGAACAUCUGCACCCGCACUGCUUCCUGCUGAGUAAAGGGUGCGCUGUGUCACUGUGACGGUGUCUCCUACAGAGAAACACGGGUUGGUGGGUUCUCUCCUCCGCCUCCUUCUCUGGGUGCUUUGUGCAUUUUGACAAAUGGUUCCACCCACUGGCUUUGGUUUCAGAUCAAAGAUCCGAGUCCUGGUCCUGCCUCCUUCCUGCUCAUCUUAAGCAACUCAUUGGAUCCCCUGGACCUCGGUUCCCUCCGCGGGGAUCAUGCUGAGCAUUUGCCUUGGAUCUCAGAAGACUUUGCCCUUGAAAGCUUUGGCCCAGCUUCUGGGGUCCUCAGGUCUGUCUCCUGGACCCAGCACAGACAGGGGAAGCAGAGGUGGCACCCAGAGGGGCAUCUGGAUAUCACCCAGAAGCACCUUGUGGAACCCGGCCACCCC